UAGGGAAUCUUCGGCAAUGGGGGGAACCCUGACCGAGCAACGCCGCGUGAGUGAAGAAGGUUUUCGGAUCGUAAAGCUCUGUUGUUAAGGAAGAACGAGUGUGAGAAUGGAAAGUUCAUACUGUGACGGUACUUAACCAGAAAGGGACGGCUAACUACGUGCCAGCAGCCGCGGUAAUACGUAGGUCCCGAGCGUUGUCCGGAUUAAUUGGGCGUAAAGCGAGCGCAGGCGGUUAGAUAAGUCUGAAGUUAAAGGCAGUGGCUCAACCAUUGUAGGCUUUGGAAACUGGUUAACUUGAGUGAAGAAGGGGGGAGUGGAAUUCCAGGUGUAGCGGUGAAUUGCGUAGAUAUAUGGAGGAACACCGGUGGCGAAAGCGGCUCUCUGGUCUGUAACUGACGCUGAGGCUCGAAAGCGUGGGGAGCGAACAGG
RNAcentral lists this ribosomal RNA (429 nucleotides) under Bacteroidota bacterium. RNAcentral's name for it is "Bacteroidetes bacterium partial 16S ribosomal RNA". It matches the Rfam family "Bacterial small subunit ribosomal RNA", at positions 355 to 776 of the family's 1533-position model. The record is from RNAcentral. Lineage: Bacteria; Pseudomonadati; Bacteroidota.